Molecule: long non-coding RNA, 639 nt
Organism: Oncorhynchus kisutch (coho salmon)
Lineage: Eukaryota; Metazoa; Chordata; Actinopteri; Salmoniformes; Salmonidae
Exons: 3
Source: RefSeq, a predicted model, not a curated record
CUUUAGUCAUUUUGAAACUAUAAAUGAUUAGAGAAUUUGAGUAAACAAUUGUGAAAAACAGUGAAGGUUUCUCUUCCCACAUGAUUGUAACAGGGUGGAACUGUUUGUCGGUAAACAUGCCCCAUGUUAACCCUUGCCAGUCCCAGGUAUAGCAUGUUUCAAUAAAGGGAAUGGCCCUGGGUAUUUAAGCUUGACUUUUUGUGUCAUUCACAAUAUUCCAUGACCACUAGAAGGCUGACGUGUGCAGGGAGGAUGGUCUAGUAGUGAAAGUCCAGUCAGUGUCUCUAUUAGACACCAUAAGAAUCCUGACUGGACUCUGACUGGACUCUGAUUGGACAUGAGCUGAACCAAAGGAUCCAACACAAAAGUGUCAUUUGUUUCCUGGAUGAUGUCAUAUGGAGGAAGCUUCCACACCUUUUCAGGAGCCCCUGUAAUCAUUUAUGAUUUAAAAAGAUACGGCCAUGAAGCAAACUCCGACAUGAAACUGACGUGCAGUUGCCUGGUUAUGAGCACCGGAGGACCAAGAGCCAAUAAUCUGCACUUCCUUCAGUUUGACCACACACAGAAAAAAUGAUGCAUCCAUGUAAUCAACAGUUCAUCAAUUAUAAAUUAAUUGACAUAUUCAAGAGUUGUAAAUUG